RNAcentral lists this ribosomal RNA (328 nucleotides) under uncultured eukaryote. RNAcentral describes it as "partial 18S ribosomal RNA". It matches the Rfam family "Eukaryotic small subunit ribosomal RNA", at positions 1470 to 1796 of the family's 1831-position model. The record is from RNAcentral.
CCCUUAGAUGUCCUGGGCCGCACGCGCGCUACACUGAUGCAUGCAACGAGUUUAUAACCUUGGCCUGAAAGGUCUGGGUAAUCUUUUGAACGUGCAUCGUGAUAGGGAUAGAUUAUUGCAAUUGUUAAUCUUGAACGAGGAAUUCCUAGUAAACGCGAGUCAUCAGCUCGCAUUGAUUACGUCCCUGCCCUUUGUACACACCGCCCGUCGCACCUACCGAUUGAAUGGUUCGGUGAAGAUCUCGGACUUCGAUAUUUAUUCUUUAUUGAGUCUAUAUUGUGGGAAGUUAUCUAAACCUCAUCAUUUAGAGGAAGGUGAAGUCGUAACA